CGGAUGUAGCCAAGUGGAUCAAGGCAGUGGAUUGUGAAUCCACCAUGCGCGA
RNAcentral lists this transfer RNA (52 nucleotides) under Mangifera indica (mango). RNAcentral describes it as "partial tRNA-His". Lineage: Eukaryota; Viridiplantae; Streptophyta; Magnoliopsida; Sapindales; Anacardiaceae. RNAcentral also lists the same sequence under 4 other names. The record is from RNAcentral.